This 366-nucleotide ribosomal RNA is filed under the name uncultured Methanococcus sp. Its description in RNAcentral is "bacterial SSU rRNA". It matches the Rfam family "Archaeal small subunit ribosomal RNA", at positions 365 to 733 of the family's 1478-position model. Lineage: Archaea; Methanobacteriati; Methanobacteriota; Methanococci; Methanococcales; Methanococcaceae. The record is from RNAcentral.
GUGCGACGGGGGGAUCCCAAGUGCUCAUGCACAGCAUGGGCUUUUAUCAAGUGUAAACAGCUUGAGGAAUAAGGGCUGGGCAAGUUCGGUGCCAGCAGCCGCGGUAACACCGACGGCCCGAGUGGUGGCCACUUUUAUUGGGCCUAAAGCGUCCGUAGCCGGUCCAGUAAGUCCUUGUUUAAAUCCUGCGGCUUAACCGCAGGACUGGCAGGGAUACUGCUGGACUUGGGACCGGGAGAGGACAAGGGUACUUCAGGGGUAGCGGUGAAAUGUGUUGAUCCUUGAAGGACCACCUAUGGCGAAGGCACUUGUCUGGAACGGGUCCGACGGUGAGGGACGAAAGCCAGGGGCGCGAACCGGAUUAGA